CAUUAUUAAUCUGCUAGCAAAGGAAAGUUAAACAUAACGAUAUGAACUGAAUUAACCAGUGCACACGACUAGGAAAAAACAAACAUCAUUUGUCAUCGAGUUUCUAAUUAAAUCAUGGCUGCAAGUGGGCAUCGUUAUUAUAAUAGUGAAGGUGAACGUGCUGCUACUUCCCUCAUUCCCAACAUGAAUCAAGUACCUGCAUUGAGUAAUGCAAGAGUGAGAUGAUACAUCUCAGCAAGCAAAUUGUUUUGACGAGAUAUUUAAACCACAAAUUGAAUUAAACAACAUUUUAAAGGAAUCACAAUUGAGAUCAGAAAUACUUGUAGAUAUAAAACUCAAUAGUCCCAAUAUAACCAAUACCAUCUCAUUUCCUCGAACAACCACAAUAGGUUGUAUAACCCUUCCCUGCGUCAACAAUACCUGCAGAUAUCACUUCAAUGUAUGCAUAGGAAUGCAAUGUGUAGGUCAUCUGCCCUCAUACCUCUGAGAGUAUAAAACCACAUCAUCUGCUAAUAUCACUUCAAUGAAUGCAUAUAAAUGCAAUGCAUAUGUCCUCUGCCUUCAUACCUCUAAGGGUAUGAAGCCGCAUCGUACCCCUCCUCGGGCAACGUACGAUGCUAAGUUGUACCGGUACGGUCGGACCAUAGGUCACGACCAAACUUCAGAUGCAAAUGAAUCAUGUAAUGCAUAUGGCAUGCUGCAUUUAUCAAUACACUUCACUUCCUUCAGAUACAAAACAAACCUCAAAUAAUACUUCAUCUGCCUUCAGAUACGAUACAGACCUCAAAUAAUACUUUAUCUGCCUUCACGGGUGUAAAUUAAUCUCAUGGGUCAUACUUGAACCAUAAUCAUCAUCAAUAUAUGAUUGAGCAUCAGUAUAAUACAAUCAAGUAAAGCAUCACCAUAGAGUUCAAUUAUGAAAGAAUUCCAUAAUUCUGAAUAUUAGAGUGUUGGCGAUAAAAAAACAACAAUUCAAAACGGUAGAAACCACUGCUACAUUCACUUGCCUUCAUCGAGGAAGAAAGAUGUACUAGGCAUGAUCCGGAGUGUAGCCACCUGCUAGCGGGCAUAAAACUUAGUACAAAUAUUUGACAAACAUUUGCCAACAAUCAACAAAUCGCUCCUACACUUGAAACCAAGACCCGGUGGAAAGACUCCCACCCUGAACCGCAUGCCAAACAACAACAACACUGUUUGUUAAUUUUAUAUCUUUAAAAUUAUAACAGUGGUGAUAUUAAACAAAUACUCUAGGAGUGUAUACACAAAAUACUCUACAACUUCAGUAUUCAAUGGAUAAUUAAAUUCUGCCAUCUAUAAGUUCUAAAACAUCUGAUAAGAUAAAUGUCUGAAUCUGUUUCAGACAGCAACAUAGUUAACUUCAAAAUUCAAUAUCUACCAAACUACUCAACCAAAAAUUAUGAAAUUCUGCUGGCAGUAAGAACUUUUAUCCCUCUAUAAAUGUCUCCAUAGUUGGAACAGCCAAUUCGGCUAUUUACUAUAUGAAACCCACCAGUGAACAGACCCGCUCAUUUUUGUCAGGCAAACAGAAACAUCCACAGUAAAACAAACAUAACUGGAGUUUCAUAAUUCAUAUGAAUGCGCUCUUUAACAAUCUGGAAAGCUUAUAAAAUUGUCUACAACUUCUUUUACAAUCCUAAAGUUUAAUUCUGUAGAUAAAAUUGCCUAAAUCUUAAGAGAACAGAUUCUGCACAGAAUUAUGAGACUGAAAAACUGCUAUAAUCAAACUGCAAUAACUUUCUGAUCUGAUGUCCGAUUGAGGUGUUCUUCGCGGCCACGGAAAGAUAUACAAAUUAUCUACGACUCAUAGACAGACGUUUUAUUUUUUUGAGGCCACUAAGAUCACGGAAAACUGGCAUGAACAGAAACUGUUGAAUCUGCCAUCCUGCAGAAACUAAUUUCGAGAUCAAAAUCUAAUCUCCCAUCUAAUCCAACCAAAAAAACUAAUUGCAGGGCCUAAAACUCAUCCAAAACAAGAGAAAGCAUUCAUCAAGUGGAGAAAAGAGAGAGACGAAAGGAAAUCCAACCAAUUCUUGGAGAGGAACGACGAUGAUGAGCGACGGUAUGCCCUUAUCUCCCCUCUCUUCUCUUCUUUUUUCUUCCUCUCAUCUCUUGGGGCAAGGCACAAAAG
This 2149-nucleotide long non-coding RNA is filed under the name Zea mays. RNAcentral's name for it is "long non-coding RNA (ZMAY_LNC000394)". The record is from RNAcentral. Lineage: Eukaryota; Viridiplantae; Streptophyta; Magnoliopsida; Poales; Poaceae.